This 434-nucleotide ribosomal RNA is filed under the name uncultured Clostridium sp. RNAcentral's name for it is "partial 16S ribosomal RNA". It matches the Rfam family "Bacterial small subunit ribosomal RNA", at positions 341 to 792 of the family's 1533-position model. The record is from RNAcentral. Lineage: Bacteria; Bacillati; Bacillota; Clostridia; Eubacteriales; Clostridiaceae. RNAcentral also lists the same sequence under 1 other name.
ACGGGAGGCAGCAGUGGGGAAUAUUGCACAAUGGGGGAAACCCUGAUGCAGCGACGCCGCGUGAGUGAAGAAGUAUUUCGGUAUGUAAAGCUCUAUCAGCAGGGACGAAAAUGACGGUACCUGACUAAGAAGCCCCGGCUAACUACGUGCCAGCAGCCGCGGUAAUACGUAGGGGGCAAGCGUUAUCCGGAUUUACUGGGUGUAAAGGGAGCGUAGACGGCGAUGCAAGUCUGAUGUGAAAACCCAGGGCUUAACCUUGGGCCUGCAUUGGAAACUGCUUUGCUAGAGUGCAGGAGAGGUAAGUGGAAUUCCUAGUGUAGCGGUGAAAUGCGUAGAUAUUAGGAGGAACACCAGUGGCGAAGGCGGCUUACUGGACUGUAACUGACGUUGAGGCUCGAAAGCGUGGGGAGCAAACAGGAUUAGAUACCCUGGUA